AGGAGAAGGAUGAUGGAGGAAUGGAAAGAUCAGAGGAGGAGGAGGAUGGAGGAAUGGAAAGAUCAGAGGAGGAGGGGGAUGGAGGAAUGAUGAUACAGAAAGAGACAGCAAGAGAGGAAGAGACUGUGAUUUUUAGAACACCAAGUGGCCGGUCCAGACAACGACUGAGGGACAUAUUCCGCUCCAUAUUCUGCUGUUGUUGCUGCAAAACCAGCGACUAGAAAAAAACAAAUACAAAAAGAAAAAAAAAGAUAAAAAGAAAAAAA
Molecule: long non-coding RNA, 266 nt
Organism: Hyla sarda
Lineage: Eukaryota; Metazoa; Chordata; Amphibia; Anura; Hylidae
Exons: 4
Source: RefSeq, a predicted model, not a curated record